This 465-nucleotide ribosomal RNA is filed under the name uncultured bacterium. RNAcentral's name for it is "partial 16S ribosomal RNA". It matches the Rfam family "Bacterial small subunit ribosomal RNA", at positions 28 to 507 of the family's 1533-position model. The record is from RNAcentral.
GACGAACGCUGGCGGCGUGCUUAACACAUGCAAGUCGAACGGUAAGGCUCCAGCUUGCUGGGGUACACGAGUGGCGAACGGGUGAGUAACACGUGGGUGACCUGCCCUGCACUUCGGGAUAAGCCUGGGAAACUGGGUCUAAUACCGGAUAGGACCGCACCGUGAGGGUGGGGUGGAAAGUUUUUUCGGUGUGGGAUGGGCCCGCGGCCUAUCAGCUUGUUGGUGGGGUAAUGGCCUACCAAGGCGGCGACGGGUAGCCGGCCUGAGAGGGUGGACGGCCACAUUGGGACUGAGACACGGCCCAGACUCCUACGGGAGGCAGCAGUGGGGGAUAUUGCACGAUGGGCGGAAGCCUGAUGCAGCGACGCCGCGUGGGGGAUGACGGCCUUCGGGUUGUAAACUCCUUUCACCAUCGACGAAGGGUUUCUGACGGUAGAUGGAGAAGAAGCACCGGCUAACUACGUG